This 1401-nucleotide ribosomal RNA is filed under the name uncultured bacterium. RNAcentral describes it as "bacterial SSU rRNA". It matches the Rfam family "Bacterial small subunit ribosomal RNA". The record is from RNAcentral.
GGCGAAUGAAUUUACCGGCCGCGUAUCGCCCUUAGAGUUUGAUCCUGGCUCACGACGAACGCUGGCGGCGCGCCUAACACAUGCAAGUCGAACGAGAGAGAGGGAGCUUGCUUCCUCAAUCGAGUGGCGAACGGGUGAGUAACGCGUGAGGAACCUGCCUCAAAGAGGGGGACAACAGUUGGAAACGACUGCUAAUACCGCAUAAGCCCACAGGUCGGCAUCGACCAGAGGGAAAAGGAGCAAUCCGCUUUGAGAUGACCUCGCGUCCGAUUAGCUAGUUGGUGAGGUAAUGGCCCACCAAGGCGACGAUCGGUAGCCGGACUGAGAGGUUGAACGGCCACAUUGGGACUGAGACACGGCCCAGACUCCUACGGGAGGCAGCAGUGGGGAAUAUUGCACAAUGGGGGAAACCCUGAUGCAGCGACGCCGCGUGGAGGAAGAAGGUCUUCGGAUUGUAAACUCCUGUUGUUGAGGAAGAUAAUGACGGUACUCAACAAGGAAGUGACGGCUAACUACGUGCCAGCAGCCGCGGUAAAACGUAGGUCACAAGCGUUGUCCGGAAUUACUGGGUGUAAAGGGAGCGCAGGCGGGAAGACAAGUUGGAAGUGAAAUCUAUGGGCUCAACCCAUAAACUGCUUUCAAAACUGUUUUUCUUGAGUAGUGCAGAGGUAGGCGGAAUUCCCGGUGUAGCGGUGGAAUGCGUAGAUAUCGGGAGGACACCAGUGGCGAAGGCGGCCUACUGGGCACCAACUGACGCUGAGGCUCGAAAGUGUGGGUAGCAACAGGAUUAGAUACCCUGGUAGUCCACACCGUAAACGAUGAUUACUAGGUGUUGGAGGAUUGACCCCUUCAGUGCCGCAGUUAACACAAUAAGUAAUCCACCUGGGGAGUACGACCGCAAGGUUGAAACUCAAAGGAAUUGACGGGGGCCCGCACAAGCAGUGGAGUAUGUGGUUUAAUUCGACGCAACGCGAAGAACCUUACCAAGUCUUGACAUCCUGCGACGGACAUAGAAAUAUGUCUUUCCUUCGGGACGCAGAGACAGGUGGUGCAUGGUUGUCGUCAGCUCGUGUCGUGAGAUGUUGGGUUAAGUCCCGCAACGAGCGCAACCCUUACUGUCAGUUACUACGCAAGAGGACUCUGGCAGGACUGCCGUUGACAAAACGGAGGAAGGUGGGGAUGACGUCAAAUCAUCAUGCCCUUUAUGACUUGGGCUACACACGUACUACAAUGGCGUUAAACAAAGAGAAGCAAGACCGCGAGGUGGAGCAAAACUCAGAAACAACGUCCCAGUUCGGACUGCAGGCUGCAACUCGCCUGCACGAAGUCGGAAUUGCUAGUAAUCGUGGAUCAGCAUGCCACGGUGAAUACGUUCNCCGGGCCUUGUACACACCGCCCGUC